Long non-coding RNA from Halichondria panicea, 756 nucleotides. RefSeq lists it as uncharacterized. NCBI's taxonomy places the organism in Eukaryota, Metazoa, Porifera, Demospongiae, Suberitida, Halichondriidae. The record is from RefSeq and is a predicted model, not a curated record. The transcript is spliced from 4 exons.
UUUAAAUCUUUUUUUAGCUUUUCUAUAUAAAGCCCAGUGCAGAAGUUGCUACGCGCAUGCGCAGUUUCUAGUUGCUAUAGCUCCUUCGCAGCUGGAUUCUAGAACAAAAGCAGAAGAGUCAAAAGCAGUCUAAAGGAUACCACCAAGGCCCAAGAGUUGUUUAAAAGCUGAAAGAGCUGAAAAAGAGGAUGGUGUCAAGACCAGGGUAGCAAGUGCUGCAGCUUGUAGCCUAUACUACUAAGAUACUACUAGGAGACUACACUAUAGAGUGUCUAAAGAGGGACCAGGAGUUAUUUAAAAGCUGAAAGAGGAUUGUUUCAUGACCAGACUCGACUCGACUGGAGUAAAGCAAGUGUUUUUCUAGGCAUUGACGGAAAAAAGCUAUGGUUAUUUGUGGAUGACUUUGACGAGGUUCCAACCCAGUGGACAGGCUUCAGCACCUUGUUCAUGUUCACACCCAACUGUACUUCGGCACUCAACUUGAUAUGGCAUGGCUCCAUCCUGAAAUUUCAUCACCGAAGACGAUUGCCAAGAAGGUAGCUUCUCUAACACUUUAUAAUGAAGAAGCAGACAAUGGUACUUAUAAUUUGCUGCAACAAUACUCUGUACUCAUGCAGGACAUACUUUAUGUUCCUGUACAUUUUCAAUCACUUUUUCUGCUGUUUCAUCGAAUGUACGUAUAAUUUAAUUGCACCUCCAUUUAUCUUUUCACAGUCACAUGCCAACAACGUCACUAUUAAUAAUUUAUUGCAUGCU